GACGAACGCUGGCGGCGUGCUUAACACAUGCAAGUCGAACGGAAAGGCCCUGCUUUUGUGGGGUGCUCGAGUGGCGAACGGGUGAGUAACACGUGAGUAACCUGCCCUUGACUUUGGGAUAACUUCAGGAAACUGGGGCUAAUACCGGAUAGGAGCUCCUGCUGCAUGGUGGGGGUUGGAAAGUUUCGGCGGUUGGGGAUGGACUCGCGGCUUAUCAGCUGGUUGGUGGGGUAGUGGCUGACCAAGGCUUUGACGGGUAGCCGGCCUGGGAGGGUGGCCGGCCACAUUGGGCCUGCGAUACGGCCCAGACUCCUACGGGAGGCAGCAGUGGGGAAUAUUGCACAAUGGGCGGACGCCUGAUGCAGCAACGCCGCGUGCGGGAUGACGGCCUUCGGGUUGUAAACCGCUUUCGCCUGUGACGAAGCGUGAGUGACGGUAAUGGGUAAAGAAGCACCGGCUAACUACGUG
Molecule: ribosomal RNA, 468 nt
Filed under: uncultured bacterium
Lineage: Bacteria
Description: partial 16S ribosomal RNA
Rfam family: Bacterial small subunit ribosomal RNA
Source: RNAcentral